Molecule: long non-coding RNA, 887 nt
Filed under: Olea europaea subsp. europaea
Lineage: Eukaryota; Viridiplantae; Streptophyta; Magnoliopsida; Lamiales; Oleaceae
Source: RNAcentral
GGAAGAUGCUAACAGCCACCCUCCAUUUCAUUGUUUCUACUUCCUUUUUGCCUCCCUUUAACCAAAAGUGACCACACAUUCCUACUUAAGUCACCUCAUUUCUUUCAUUGCUCUCAUGACUACCAGCAUACUUAUAACAUCCACUCCUAUCUUCUUGAUCAAACCCUCUUAGCAUUGUCACCCCUUUUAUGUGAAGUUUUCGAGUUUUGCUCGGCUGCCGCCACCACGUUGCCAAUGGCUCCUGGUGGCGUGUGGUGGCGAGUGGUGGCAAGUGGCGGUGGCAGCACCUAUCAGAAGCCUUUCCUGGUGCAUGAAUGAUCAAGUAAUCCUAUAUAUGCAUAUGGUAAGGAAUGGUCGUUUUAAGGGUGGUGUCAUGUUUUUAUUACAAGGGCAACUUCUAUCCUUUGGCAUUUUCAUCAGUUCCUUAAAGUGCUCUCUCCUUGAUGAGGGGUGGCUCAAGAAUAGAAUUAAUGUACUACUUGAUUGUUAAUAAUAUGUAAGAGGGCCAAUAUUGGACACACUUUUUCUUGUACUUGUCUGAGUUUUCUUGGAAUAAAUCUGCCCCCUCAGCUUCCUUACACUAUCAGUUUUAUUGCCAGUUUUCUCAAUAUCACAAUGGUUUAGUUGAGUCUACGAAUUUAUCUAGAAAAUAAUGAACUUUAGUUGCUCUGUAUCUAGUCUUCUCGAGGUGGAAACUAGGAUGUAUACAAAAGAAUCCCUCCUCAGUACAAGAAUGUUGUCGGAAUCGGAACAUUUAGGGAUACUUUAUGCUUUGCUUGUAUGCUAACUUUAAUUAGAACGUGUUCAAUUUAUUGCUCUUUGUUUUUCAAAUGUAAUAAUUGGUACUGGAAAAUUGUUUCCACGUGAUACAAUAUACUUGGUUGGUU